GCUCAUUUGUUGAUUUGAAAUUGCCAUUUCACCCUUUACCAGCAAGAAUGCCAUACUGGUUUCAAGAAAUUCAACAAGAAUUAAAACAACACUUUACCAGCAAUGGCUCUCUCCCAUAUCAGAUUCUAUUAGUUGUUCAUGCCCCUAAGCCUCAUCAAUAAUUUGUCUUUUCUUUGCUGUCCGAUCUUCGUUUAUAUUUGAUAAUUUAAGUUAAUUUAUAAGUGGAAGGUUAACAGGAAGUACAUUAAAUAAUAAUAAAGAAACACACUUUCUCUUUCCUCUAGUAUAAAAAAGAAACACACUCUCUCUUUCAUCUAGUCUAAAAAAAAGAUCUAAUUUUCUUCUCAUUAAGGAAAAAUCAGUAUAUUCUCUAUGUAGGUCACAUAAGAAAGUGUUUUGCAAAUGCAUUGUGGCUUUUGAUGUAAUUAAAAAGUGAUAAAGUGCCUCUUGAUGUAAAAAAUUCUGCUUUGAUGAAUCGAAUCAGUUUGGAGUAAGUUCACGAAAAUGUGUGGUGAUUUAAAAUUUUUUUAAUAAAAAAAACUGUAAAAGGGAAGAUGCUCCUCGAUAAACACACUUUGCUUGUCUUGGAGAAUGAAUUUCAGACCCUAGCAUAGCAUUCUGACACAACAAACUCUAGGACAAGGAGUAGGGAGAUAUGGGCAAAAAUGAAUGAAUUUGUUUGGUUUAGUAAAGGUGCAUGCGGCUAAUUAGAUUCCCAAUUAUAGGCAUAGAUGCCAAUUUUCUCUAACUUAUUUUCCUUAUUCAAUUUUUGGGUGAUUUAAUUUUGGAAAAUUCGACAAAAUAGGGAAAAAAUCUACAUUUUGUACUCAUAUACCUUUUCCAAGUUAUGUUAUUUUUCUUUAAAGUACUUUUAACUGAAUAAUUUGUAUCCAAUAAAAAUCAACACAAUUUCUAUCCAGACUUUACUGUGGAUUCCCUUAUUGAUUCCACUACGCGACAAUGGAAUUCGCAGGUUAUUCGGACUUUGGUAGACCCGCAGGAUGUGAAAAUCAUAGAGAGCAUACCACUGAGCCGAAACCAGAUGGUUGAUAGGGAAGGAUGGCAUUUCACAAAUAAUGGGAAAUUUACCGUUAAAUCAGGAUAUCAAGUGGAGAGGAUUUAUCCGGAUAGGGAAAGAUCACCAGUAUUACUUGGACCUACAGUUGAUGUUCUGAAGGCAUUUUGUUGGAAACUAAGGUGUCCACCAAAAAUAAAACAUUUUCUCUGGCAAUUGGUGUCCGGGUGUGUCGCAGUUAAGAAGAAUUUACAGGCGUGGGGGAUCCAGGGAGAUAUAUGUUGUGCAAGAUGUGGAGCGGAUGAGGAGUCGAUUAACCAUGUGUUUUUUGAGUGUCCUCCAGCAAUUCAGGUUUGGGCGCUGUCAAAGAUUCCAACAAAUCCAGCUAUUUUCUCAACAAGCUCUAUAUUUACAAACAUGGAUCAUCUUUUCUGGAGAGUUGCUCCACGGAUAGAGGAUCAUCACUUUGCUUGGAUACUUUGGUACAUUUGGAAAGAAAGAAAUAAUAAGGUUUUUAGUAAUCUGGAUAUAGACCCUAGGGACACUCUUAAGUUGGCGGAAACAGAAUCCACACUCUGGGCAGAGGCACAUAUUUUGAAGGACCAGAACACGGGAACACAGGUUCAGGCAUCUCUGCCGUCAAUUCCUGGAAGAUGGUGCUUUACAGAUGGAUCAUGGAAAGAGGGGGAUAUGUUUUCUGGUCAGGCUGGUUCAGUGCUUUAGAAGGUUUUGAAGGUUUAAUGGGAGUCAGGAAUGUAAGGGCUUCUUUAACUCCCUUGCAUACAGAGAUGGAGGCGCUACUAUGGGCUAUGAAAUGUAUGAAGAAUUUACGUCAAUUCCAGGUUACAUUUGCAACGGAUUGUUCUCAAUUGGUGAAGAUGGUUUCGGAACCAGAAGAGUGGCCAGCUUUUGCAAGUUAUUUGGAAGAUAUCAAGAGUCUGAAAGAGAGCUUCACACGAUCAGAGAUUAUACCUGUACCAAGAACGCAAAAUACAAAGACGGAUAACCUAGCACGCAGUGUCAGGAAAAAAACGUCUUUCGUCGUUCACAUGGAUCAAUAUCUCCCGGUGUGGUUUACAGAGUCAAUAUGAGUCUGUAAUGUUGUCGAC
Brassica rapa (field mustard) is the source of this 2124-nucleotide long non-coding RNA. RefSeq lists it as uncharacterized. The record is from RefSeq and is a predicted model, not a curated record. Lineage: Eukaryota; Viridiplantae; Streptophyta; Magnoliopsida; Brassicales; Brassicaceae.